This is a long non-coding RNA of Monodelphis domestica (gray short-tailed opossum), 2170 nucleotides long. RefSeq lists it as uncharacterized. NCBI's taxonomy places the organism in Eukaryota, Metazoa, Chordata, Mammalia, Didelphimorphia, Didelphidae. The record is from RefSeq and is a predicted model, not a curated record.
CCAGGAACCAUGGUAGGUACUCAAAAAUACAAAUGCAUAAAAAAGAACAGUCCUUGUCUUCAAAGAACUAAUAUUCUACUAGGCAGAUACAAAAUGUUCAUGGAUAAGUGAAUAUAGGAUGUAUAUCAAACCAAACAACAAAGUAUUUUGGUGGACAGUACUUGUUGUUUGUCCUUUGUUUAUGGAAGAGAACCAAUGGUAUCACAAGAUGUCUUGAUUUGUACAUGAAUUAGAUUUAAGUGAGUCAAAGUUACAUAUGUCAGCCUUAUGCUCUCUUCCAGAGUCAUGAAAACUCAGUGGCAAGACAAAAGUCAGGAUGAAUGGUGAUGGUGAGAGAUGCAAAGGAAGACUUUGGUGUCUUCAAUGUCUGAUCAAGUUCUUGGUUCUCUACAGAGUCUAUUUCAGCUGACUUCAUGGUCACUAAAGCAAUCCUCAUUCUCAUCCUCAAUGCAGGAAAGACCUUUUGAUGAAAGAAGACAUCAGAAACUGAGCCUUGAAGAGGAACAGGACUUCUAAGAGGGCCUACAUAGGCCAGGCCAGGCAACACCUGGUCUUGAAGCCUCAGAGCAGCAGCAAUCCCUUUCAGAAGAUGUCAGAGGAGCCACUGUACUGGAACUCAAUGUCUGUCAGCAGCAAGAUAUGCCUGAGGAAUAGAGGUGAAAAAAUGCCCAGCAAUGGAGAGAGCAAGUGUCUUCAUCUGAAUGGCUGAUGGUGAUUCAACUGUUUCUUCUCUAAAACAGGGCUAACCAUUGCCCCAGUGUCAGGGCUUUGGUUGGUGUGUGGAUGGAAUUAUAAAACCAGGUGCCUCAUGGCUUGUAGGCUUGACUUCCAGGAAGAGCUAGCCUGUGAAUUCCAACCUCCCAAGAAUAAUGCCUCUAUCAGGGUUGGAGAGCCGAGGUCCUGAGGUUCUCAUUGUUUUCAGGAGUCUUAUGACCUGAAUUCCUGGGAGAAACAUAGACAUGGUAGAAGAAGGGGCAGGUUUGAGGGAAGAUCCUGAAUUCAGGACAUAAGAAGUCUCUAAGGAAUACAGAAAUGAAUUUUUUUCCCAGCCACUUUUUAUUCUCUGUAAACUCCAAGAACACGCACCAACACUGUGAGUCAAACUCAACUUGGUCAUUGGUUACCUACGUGACCUUAGACAAAUGCCUUAACCAACUAUUCUGGGCCUCAGUUUCCCCAUCUGUAAAAGUACAGAUGCUUAACUCAGGGAAGGAGUCCACCUAUGAAGUUUUUUAAAAGUGUAUUUCAAUAUCAUUCACUUUGUAAUCUUAAACAUUAAAUUCUAUGAAUUUAAAAAGCAUUAUUCUGAGAACAGGUCACCAGACUAUCAAAGGGAGUCCAUCACACACACACACACACACACACACACACACACACACACACACACACACACACACACCAGCUAGGUGAUGGAGUGGAUAAAACACUGAACUUGGAGUCAGGAACAUUCAUCUUGUGUUCAAAUCUAGCCUCAGACACUUACUAGUUGCAUGACCAUGGUUAAGUUGCUUAUCCUUAUUUACUUCAGUUUCCCCAUUUGUAAAAUUAUCUGGAGAAGGAAAAGACAAACAACUCCAAUAGAACCUCAAAUGGGGUCACAAAGAGUGGGACUGGACUGAAAGAUAAAUAAACAAGAACCUAAAAAAGAGUUAAUGAUCUCUAAGUUGCCUCUAAGAUUCUUCCCCAACUUUAAAUCACAGGAUCUAUGACUGGCUGAGCCUUUGGACAUCAGACUCACUGAAUUGCAGGAAAGGGGAGUGAGGAUUCUGGCUUGGAGAACCUCCAAUACCAUCCAGGGAGUGAGUGACCCCGUAGGGAAGAGUUGACUUUCCUUUGGUGCUCUGUGUUUAGAAUCCACAGUGAGGGGUAAAGCAAACCUGGUCUCUCCUCCUAUAGGGCUUCCUGGAGCCAUUCUGCCAUUCUUCACAAGCGGCAUUGAGGUCAGUUCAUGAGAAACUGUUGGGAUGAGAAAGGUUGGAGAAGUUUUCCUUGCACAUUCCUCCCUGAGCAGGAGCAGGAUUCUGUCUGCUGUUGUGAUUCCUCGCUGCCCCUGGUAAUGAGGUGGGAAGGCUCUGGGCAUGGAUAUAGCUCCAGUGCCGCCCUGUCCACCCCCACAUUAUCUUGACUUAUUACAUUGUAAUAAAUUGAACCAUUCCAGUUCAUUAUUUCA